This 597-nucleotide ribosomal RNA is filed under the name Massagris cf. honesta d082. Its description in RNAcentral is "eukaryotic LSU rRNA". The stretch from base 384 to 597 matches the Rfam family "Eukaryotic large subunit ribosomal RNA", at positions 665 to 849 of the family's 3401-position model. Lineage: Eukaryota; Metazoa; Arthropoda; Arachnida; Araneae; Salticidae. The record is from RNAcentral.
GUCCGAUCGCGCGUCUUCCGCGUUGCCAGACGCAUUUGUCUCUCGUCCGAAGGACGCUGCAGCCGGUCGGGCAGAGCAAGCGCGACGGCCUGAAGGACGGGAAAUGGCAGGUGGCCGGUGGCGUGCUUCGGCGCGUCGCCGGUUGUUAGCCGUCCCGUCGGUGGCUCGUCGCCCGACCGAGGUGUCGCGAGGCCCUCGGGCCUCCUCGUCUCCUCUCCCAGAUGAUGCGGGACAGACCGUCGCAGGCGAACUCCGCCGUCCCGUCGCACUCCCUCGGAGUGGGCGGGCGAACGGAGGGCGCCGUUGGUGACGGCGGACCCGUGGGAGGUCGGAGGCUGGCAGCGAGUAGGUCGGUCACCCACCCGACCCGUCUUGAAACACGGACCAAGGAGUCUAACAUGUGCGCGAGUCAAUGGGUCUUGAACAGGCCCAGGGGCGCAAUGAAAGCGAAGGUCGGCCCGAGCCGACCGAGUCGGGAUCCUCUCCCCUCGGGGGGAGGCGCACCGACGACCCGUCCUAUCCGGCUCGCCGGUUGGGCGGAGUGUGAGCGUACACGUUGGGACCCGAAAGAUGGUGAACUAUGCCCGGACAGGACGA